This 253-nucleotide ribosomal RNA is filed under the name uncultured bacterium. Its description in RNAcentral is "partial 16S ribosomal RNA". It matches the Rfam family "Bacterial small subunit ribosomal RNA", at positions 524 to 776 of the family's 1533-position model. The record is from RNAcentral.
UACGUAGGUGGCAAGCGUUGUCCGGAAUUAUUGGGCGUAAAGCGCGCGCAGGCGGUCCUUUAAGUCUGAUGUGAAAGCCCACGGCUUAACCGGGAGGGUGCGGCGGAAACUGGAGUGCUUGAGGGUGGGAGAGGUAAGCGGAAUUCCUGGUGUAGCGGUGAAAUGCGUAGAUAUCAGGAGGAACACCUGUGGUGUAGACAGCUUACUGGACCACUUCUGACGCUGAGACACGAAAGCGUGGGUAGCAAACAGG